This is a long non-coding RNA of Populus nigra (black poplar), 1948 nucleotides long. RefSeq lists it as uncharacterized. The record is from RefSeq and is a predicted model, not a curated record. NCBI's taxonomy places the organism in Eukaryota, Viridiplantae, Streptophyta, Magnoliopsida, Malpighiales, Salicaceae. The transcript is spliced from 2 exons.
GCCCUUAUUCACUAACUGUUGAAAUCUUGGUUGCUGGGCACUACUAUCAUGAAUGAAUUGUAGCAUCCUUGACCUCCGCAACAACUCUCACAAUAAUAGGUUUACCAGCUUGUCUUUUUUUGCUUACUGUUUUCUGAUUCUUUCCUGUUUUUAGUCAUCGACAGUGUAAUUUCUUUGUCUACUUUGCACCGACAGGCAUUUCAUAAUGUUUGCGCACUUUUCUUAUUAUAGAAUUAUUCCGCGGUAAUAAUUACUUACUAUGCUCUCACUUUUGUUUAAUUUUGUCAAGUUCUCUGCAGUAUUUCUGUGCUUUGUUUCUCAUUAUGGAAUGUUAGCUUUUGACUAAAUCAUCUGCAAGAUUUUCUUCUCAUUAUUUUAUUUUAAUAUUAAUCUUUCACCCAACAGUACACCAUAGGAGAUAAAUCACGUGAAACUCAAGAGAUGGUGCUUAUAGAAGUACUUUUUUGUUCAUGUCUGGACUUAAUUAUGUAGGUUGACAUGGUGGUUUAGGAGGUGAUGUAAUUUUAUAAUUUUCCCUCUUCAAUUUGGGACGUCAACGAUUUGUAACCUCACAUUGUAAGUAAUCAUUUUGUUACAAAUAUUUUCAAACAUAUAGAUUUGGGUCUUCUAGCAUUAAGAGAUCUCAUUCCUAAUCAUGUUAUCCAGGAGAAUAUGAUAAAGGAGGGUCAUGGAGUCUCAAAGAAUAUGAUUGGAAAUCCAAGGGAAGAUAGAAGAUAAGGUGUUAACUUUACUUUUUGUUAACCUGCAAGGAUUUUUAAUAAUCUUUCUGGUGUUUGACUAUUUAUUUUAAAGUUACCAUGCAACAGUUCAUUAAAGGAAUAAUUUUGUGGUAGGUUGUUCAAGUAAUUUUUGAUGCAGAGAAGAGCAGUGGUUGGUAUUUUUUGCCUUGCAUGACAUUGCUGAUUCCAGAUCGUUUCUUCAUCAUGGUCUUCACCUUAGUUUGUUGUUAAGAGGACCCACUUUUUGUUUAGGAAGAAACAUGGGCCUCUUGGUCCCUCCAGUUCGAAGGCCAGUUUCCCCUACUCUGCACCACCGCAUCAGUUCAGGUCUUUUUCCCAUGCACUUCUUCAUUUUUGCGUGCACGAAAUGCUUUGGAUUGUAGAUAUAUAGCUUUGCGAAUUAGCUGAGGCAUUAUGGUUCCUUAAUUGUAGUGAUAAAAGAUUUGAGGUGAGGUUAGAAGGUGAUUAUAUAGAAUCAGAGCAUGGCUCCAUCAUUUUGCACGGGUGGGAAGUUAUAAUUACCUGGUGUCAAAUUCUGUCCAACAAGGUGAUGAUGCAGAUGAACUACUUUUCAGGCGCAUCGUAUCUCUUUAAUUUUUCUUCUUUUCUAUAUCAAUGGAUCAUACUUCAAAUUAAAUUAAUGACAUGGGUAUCGAGCGAUUUUAGUGUUUUCUCCUAUUGACAUUGUUCUGUGGUGUUUCAAGUUAGAAUUCUUAACAGGUUGAGUUUCUUUUUGCCACUCAAACCAUGCAUAAAGCCCUGAUGAUUUCCGAACGAUCACACACACAAAGUUUUGGAAAAACCAAGUGCAUCCUUCGACUUUCCAGCUGUUUGCAAGCUGCUAAUGUAGAUAGACAACACAACAGUGAGGAGGCGUAGUGAGUUGGUGCAAAAGUAAGCGAGUUCUUCAGAAAAACUUGGGAGUUCAGAUCUCAGCUGUUACAUCCUCCAGUUCGUAGCAUAACUCCAUUUCGUGUAUGAUUAUAGCUAUUCUCUGAAUGAUUUUAAGUUUCUUUUUUAUAUAGAUGCGGUGGAGAUUCUUCUAAAUAAAUAGUGUGAUGUGAUCAUAAUAUUCCUGCGAGAUAAUAUACCUGUCCUUUUAUUUUCUAAAAAAGAAUUCUAGUGUUACUUUAUAGUUCUUUCUUUUUCCUCGUGUAAUCCUAGACAUGGCCAAAAUUCAACAAGUCCCUUGAAAGGAUUUAUUCGAA